GAUGAACGCUGGCGGCGUGCCUAAUACAUGCAAGUCGAGCGAACAGACGAGGAGCUUGCUCCUCUGACGUUAGCGGCGGACGGGUGAGUAACACGUGGAUAACCUACCUAUAAGACUGGGAUAACUUCGGGAAACCGGAGCUAAGACCGGAUAAUAUAUUGAACCGCAUGGUUCAAUAGUGAAUGACGGUUUUGCUGUCACUUAUAGAUGGAUCCGCGCCGCAUUAGCUAGUUGGUAAGGUAACGGCUUACCAAGGCGACGAUGCGUAGCCGACCGGAGAGGGUGAUCGGCCACACUCGAACUGCGACACGGUCCAGACUCCUACGGGAGGCAGCAGUAGGGAAUCUUCCGCAAUGGGCGAAAGCCUGACGGAGCAACGCCGCGUGAGUGAUGAAGGUCUUCGGAUCGUAAAACUCUGUUAUUAGGGAAGAACAAAUGUGUAAGUAACUAUGCACGUCUUGACGGUACCUAAUCAGAAAGCCACGGCUAACUACGUG
Molecule: ribosomal RNA, 497 nt
Filed under: uncultured bacterium
Lineage: Bacteria
Description: partial 16S ribosomal RNA
Rfam family: Bacterial small subunit ribosomal RNA
Source: RNAcentral